RNAcentral lists this transfer RNA (58 nucleotides) under Brugia pahangi. RNAcentral's name for it is "tRNA-Asn". The record is from RNAcentral. Lineage: Eukaryota; Metazoa; Nematoda; Chromadorea; Rhabditida; Onchocercidae.
GAAUUUUAAGUAUAAUUUUUUUGUAUAACUAAUUGUUGAUUAGUAGGUUAAAAAUUCU